GUGGGGAAUCUUGCGCAAUGCGCGAAAGCGUGACGCAGCAACACCGCGUGAGGGAAGACGGCCUUCGGGUUGUAAACCUCUUUCAGGAGGGACGAAGGCCGGCCGGUUAACAGCCGUGCCGGCUGACGGUACCUCCACAAGAAGCACCGGCUAACUACGUGCCAGCAGCCGCGGUAAUACGUAGGGUGCAAGCGUUGUCCGGAAUCAUUGGGCGUAAAGCGCGCGUAGGCGGCCCGAUAAGUCCGCUGUAAAAGUCAACGGCUCAACUGUUGAAAGCCGGUGGAUACUGUCGGGCUAGAGUACGGAAGAGGCAAGUGGAACUCCUGGUGUAGCGGUGGAAUGCGCAGAUAUCAGGAAGAACACCUAUAGCGAAGGCAGCUUGCUGGGACGUUACUGACGCUAAGGCGCGAAAGCGUGGGGAGCAAACAGGAUUAGAAACCCGUGUAGUCC
RNAcentral lists this ribosomal RNA (450 nucleotides) under uncultured bacterium. RNAcentral describes it as "bacterial SSU rRNA". It matches the Rfam family "Bacterial small subunit ribosomal RNA", at positions 354 to 796 of the family's 1533-position model. The record is from RNAcentral.